Pelobates cultripes (western spadefoot toad) is the source of this 181-nucleotide non-coding RNA. The record is from the annotation of a GenBank genome assembly. Lineage: Eukaryota; Metazoa; Chordata; Amphibia; Anura; Pelobatidae.
GAGAGAGAGAGAGAAAAAAAAAAUCCAGGGAGCACACUGGGUCUUCAAUAUAGUGAAGCAAAGUUAUUUAAUGUAUUAUAAAAAUACAUAAGCUUAUGUGUUUUUUAUAAUACAUUAAAUAACUUUGCUUCACUAUAUUGAAGACCCAGUGUGCUCCCUGGAUUCUCCUUUCUUAUAUACA